UGGGGAAUAUUGCGCAAUGGGGGGAACCCUGACGCAGCCAUGCCGCGUGAAUGAAGAAGGCCUUCGGGUUGUAAAGUUCUUUCGGUAUUGAGGAAGGUUGAUGUGUUAAUAGUACAUCAAAUUGACGUUAAAUACAGAAGAAGCACCGGCUAACUCCGUGCCAGCAGCCGCGGUAAUACGGAGGGUGCGAGCGUUAAUCGGAAUAACUGGGUGUAAAGGGCACGCAGGCGGUUAUUUAAGUGAGGUGUGAAAGCCCUGGGCUUAACCUAGGAAUUGCAUUUCAGACUGGGUAACUAGAGUACUUUAGGGAGGGGUAGAAUUCCACGUGUAGCGGUGAAAUGCGUAGAGAUGUGGAGGAAUACCGAAGGCGAAGGCAGCCCCUUGGGAAUGUACUGACGCUCAUGUGCGAAAGCGUGGGGAGCAAACAGGAUUAGAUACCCUGGUAGUCCACGCUGUAAACGCUGUCGAUUUGGGGGUUGGGGUUUAACUCUGGCGCCCGUAGCUAACGUGAUAAAUCGACCGCCUGGGGAGUACGGCCGCAAGGUUA
This 547-nucleotide ribosomal RNA is filed under the name uncultured bacterium. Its description in RNAcentral is "bacterial SSU rRNA". It matches the Rfam family "Bacterial small subunit ribosomal RNA", at positions 355 to 896 of the family's 1533-position model. The record is from RNAcentral.